Non-coding RNA from Brassica napus (rape), 125 nucleotides. NCBI's taxonomy places the organism in Eukaryota, Viridiplantae, Streptophyta, Magnoliopsida, Brassicales, Brassicaceae. The record is from Rfam.
GGAAUACAAGAACCCGUCUUUUAACUUUUAACUAAAAAAGUUAAGAACCGACUCUUAAAUAAGAUAUUUAAGAGCCGAUUCUUAGGUUUUUUAACUAAAAAUUAAGAGUCAUGUUCUUAUAUUCC